This 468-nucleotide ribosomal RNA is filed under the name uncultured bacterium. RNAcentral's name for it is "partial 16S ribosomal RNA". It matches the Rfam family "Bacterial small subunit ribosomal RNA", at positions 28 to 507 of the family's 1533-position model. The record is from RNAcentral.
GACGAACGCUGGCGGCGUGCUUAACACAUGCCAGUCGAACGGAAAGGCCCUGCUUUUGUGGGGUGCUCGAGUGGCGAACGGGUGAGUAACACGUGAGUAACCUGCCCUUGACUUUGGGAUAACUUCAGGAAACUGGGGCUAAUACCGGAUAGGAGCUCCUGCUGCAUGGUGGGGGAUGGAAAGUUUCGGCGGUUGGGGAUGGACUCGCGGCUUAUCAGCUUGUUGGUGGGGUAGGGGCUUACCAAGGCUUUGACGGGUAGCCGGCCUGAGAGGGUGACCGGCCACAUUGGGACUGAGAUACGGCCCAGACUCCUACGGGAGGCAGCAGUGGGGAAUAUUGCACAAUGGGCGGAAGCCUGAUGCAGCAACGCCGCGUGCGGGAUGACGGCCUUCGGGUUGUAAACCGCUUUCGCCUGUGACGAAGCGUGAGUGACGGUAAUGGGUAAAGAAGCACCGGCUAACUACGUG